AUUGAACGCUGGCGGCAUGCCUUACACAUGCAAGUCGAACGGUAACGCGGGGGCAACCCUGGCGACGAGUGGCGAACGGGUGAGUAAUACAUCGGAACGUACCCAGUAGUGGGGGAUAGCUCGGCGAAAGCCGGAUUAAUACCGCAUACGACCUAUGGGUGAAAGCGGGGGAUCGCAAGACCUCGCGCUAUUGGAGCGGCCGAUGUCGGAUUAGCUAGUUGGUGAGGUAAAGGCNCACUAAGGCUACGAUCCGUAGCUGGUCUGAGAGGACGACCAGCCACACUGGGACUGAGACACGGCCCAGACUCCUACGGGAGGCAGCAGUGGGGAAUUUUGGACAAUGGGCGAAAGCCUGAUCCAGCCAUGCCGCGUGUGUGAAGAAGGCC
This 386-nucleotide ribosomal RNA is filed under the name uncultured bacterium. Its description in RNAcentral is "bacterial SSU rRNA". It matches the Rfam family "Bacterial small subunit ribosomal RNA", at positions 29 to 416 of the family's 1533-position model. The record is from RNAcentral.